Oncorhynchus tshawytscha (Chinook salmon) is the source of this 4628-nucleotide RNA transcript. It is a transcript of the gene named acidic leucine-rich nuclear phosphoprotein 32 family member A-like, with no coding region annotated. The transcript is spliced from 5 exons. The record is from RefSeq and is a predicted model, not a curated record. Lineage: Eukaryota; Metazoa; Chordata; Actinopteri; Salmoniformes; Salmonidae.
GCAGUUGUCCACAUAUUUUUUCCAUGUAGAGUAUUUCACAGUGGUUUAAAUGGUACAAUGACUCUCUACAGCAGGGGUUCCCAAACUGUUUGGGGAACAGCUCACGCCCACGUCUAUUUCUAUGGGCACAAGCACUGUUCAUGACACCAACUGUUCACACCACUCUUGUUGGUGGAGUGAAUUUAGCAGGUUUAAAGCAUAUUUCCUGCAAUUCUAAACAUUUUGUCAAGGAGUGCAGAGAACAUGUAGCUGUUUUAAAAAAGGUCAUUGUCUUGCAAUUCUAUACAUUUUGCCACAUCUAAUGUGUAUUCAUGUCAUCUUUGAGUGUCUCAAACACUACAACAAAAUCGAAGGGCUACAAAACCUAGCUAAAAUGUUUGCUGACAUGGCUAGUUCAUCUGGACAUUUCUGACAAAUCACAAAUGGUUAUGCAAGAGAGAAACUGAAGACGCCCUAGCCAAUUUCGAAAUGGCACCUUCGGAAUUCUGAUCGGUUUUAAGUAAUAACUCGAACAAUUUAAAAGUGAGGUGUCACUUCGUUUGGUUGAGUUUUGAUGCGUAUACUUAAAAAACCUGUGUCUAGCUAAAACAACGCUGACCAGCCUCUAGGCGUUUGUCUUUUAUUGUCUUGGCUGGAUAGCGUCGUGUCCUUUAGGGCUAGCACGAACUAACGCAAAAUAACACUUUAGCUAACAGUUCAUUUCGAAUACGAAAAUCAUAUUUAAAUCAUACUUAAAAUACGAUAUUAUACAUAUUUAAUCAAUAUUGAAUACACUUACACACGUAACAGAGCAGUCUUACCUGUUAGAUUAACUCGGAGUAGUUUAUGAAGGAGAUACUUUCCAGCCUUAGUGCUACCCGGGAUCCUUGGGACGUCCCUAACCCUUAAAGCUGCAGUAUGUAUCUUUUGGGCGAACAGACCAAAUGUGCAUAUACAUUUUAGUUAUGGAUCUGCCAUUCUCCUUUAAAGCAAGUCUAAGAAGCGGUAGAUCUGUUAUACAGAGUAUGUUCACUGUUUCUAUGCUUCUCAUGUUUAAAUAAAUGUUUUACGUCUUUUAUUUUCAUUUUGGAAAUACUACUCCCUUUUCUACUGCCACGCAUUCAUGUUCUUUGGAACUAUUAAUCUAUCUGUGCUACACCUUCUUUGAUAAAUGUAGCACACCUACCACCCAAACCCUCUAUUCUAUCACUUCUCACAGAGAUAAACCCAGGUAUAAAAUAAUCCAAUUGCCAUAUGAACUCAGACUAAUUUUUGUUUAUGAGGGAUUUAGCAAUAACCAUGGAAUCUGGGAUCCUUGUGACGUCACUACCCUCAACUCAAAGCUUUCAUUUUUGUUUCUGAGGGACUUUCCAUGGUAAGUACUAUCCAGCAUUCUGGGGAUGUUACUACCCUCAACCCCAAUCUUAUCUAACCUUAAACCUGCAAUAAGUCACUUUUUUUGUGUGACCGGACCAAAUUCACAUAGAAAUUUGAGUUAAGCGGGAGAUCUGUUAAACAGUAUGUUCACUAUUUCUAUGCUUCCCUUGUUUAAGUAAAUGUUUUGCGUCUUUAACUUUCAGUUUUGAAAAUACAAUGUUUUCGCUUAUGGAGAAGAUAUUUCAUAGCGGUUUACCAGGUGUUCCCAAACUUUUUAACUCUGACCCCCUUUCCAGCAUUGUGGAACAUCCCGCGCCCCCGUCUAUUUCUAUGGGCACAAGCUAUGUGUUUACAUUUGUAUUUUUGUCGAGAGCAAAACUUUUUUCUUUUCAAUCAAAUAUAAUUGUUUUGAAAGCAAAAACGGGACUUCAAAGUUUUUAAAAAAAUGUACAAAUGUGCAAUCAAAUAUUUUCUAUUAGAGCGCAAAACGUCAUUCCCAAAAAAUAUUCCGUCCAAACUCUACAUAGCUAGUAGUUCAGUGAUGCAAACUAGUCACCUUUCUGUGAAAUUCGCGGUUUUGGUAUUCGACUCAUUGCCGUUCUUCAAGUUAUAACGCGUUAACGUUAUUUGCUUACUGGACCCUGCCAAUCUGUGUGAAACAUUAACUAGCUAACGAAAUAACCACUAUCUGUUAACUAAUGUUUUCCCUCUACAGUAUGUGGUUCAUUUUCAGAAUGAGAGAUUUAGGUGAAAAUGAGGCGUUGCUUGUUAAACAAGUGGAUUCAGGGAUCAAGUGUAGCAGGAGCUGGGCCUGGCUUAAACUGGAUGCCACUAUAGAGAGUGGCAGGUGAAAUAUUUGCAGUGAGCCUUGCACAAGGUGAACCGUCUCCAUGAUUUAUGCAGGAGUGAUGUUACCACUAUCUGUUGACCGGGACCCUGAAGGACCUAACAAAGGAGACAUUUUGCUACAUGUAACCACAAAACGUACGGCGAUGCUUCAGCAGCUGCAUGAAGGCCUUGAAGUCUACAUCCUAAUUGAGGUCCUGCAGAAGAACCCGAAGGAAUGUCUCAAUCUCUUUGUGAUGACAUGGUUGAUGCACACUACAUAAUCUCAAACCUGGCCCCAGAGAUGAGUGAAAGUGGUUCUCCAAAACAAAAGGAGACGGAAAUCUUGGAUUUCUUUAAAGAUUUCCUCCAAGAACUUGAUGAUGGGAAAGUGAGCCUGCCUGUGGCUGAAGACAGUGGAGAGGAAGAAGACAGUGGAGAGGGAGAAGACAGUGGAGAGGAAGAAGACAGUGGAGAGGAAGAAGACAGUGGAGAGGAAGAAGACAGUGGAGAGGAAGAAGACAGUGGAGAGGAAGAAGACAGUGGAGAGGGAGAAGACAGUGGAGAGGAAGAAGACAGUGGAGAGGAAGAAGACAGUGGAGAGGAAGAAGACAGUGGAGAGGAAGAAGACAGUGGAGAACCACUUUCUGUUCCCAGUGUAAUGCAGUGGCUGACAGGGCAGCCACACACACCUGCUUGUCUCAGAGAGAAAAGUUAAAGAUGGUGAUCAUUUUUGACCACUCAUGUCUAGAACGCAUGCCUAACUACACUGUUUGUUACCCUGUUAGUGCAUACACCAAAACGAUAACAUUUCCCACAGCCCAUCUGAGAGAUUACGAUGCAUUUAAAUCAAACAUUGAAACAGCAAUCAAAUACAGUGCAAGGUUUGAUAGAGUUUAGCUGAAAGACUAUUCAAUUUAACUGACUGAUAAACCACAUACAGUACAUUAUGUUCCUGUGUAAAGAAGCAGUCAAAUCUUUUUUGCUUUAUUUUGGGGUUAAUGCUUAAAUGUACGCCCAUGACAACUGUGAUUUAGAAAAUAUUUUUCAUUAACCUCUUACUACUCAGCAUUCAUAGAAGUAUGGUAGACUGCAGCGAUAGCUCAGAGGUCUAAACGUUGGAUGUCUGGAUGAAUGGACUAUUGGAAAUAGUCAGAGGGACUGAUGUAGUAUUUUGGCUUUUGUAAAGUUUUUGCAUUAUGUUUUAUACACUGGUCUUAGACUAUACCUUCAAACACCAAAACCUUAGGUGGCUCCAUUGCUAGUAAAGAGUGUUACACUGUAUCAACAAAAUGUGUUUUUGUAUCAUCGUAGUCCAUGGGAAUUAUGUAAAUGAAAUGACAUACAAUAUACUAGUUUUCUGGCCAACAUAGUGUUCCAGAUGUACUGUAACUACUUUAGGGUAUCAUCGGUUCUCUCCCCUUUAAUAUGUGAUUCUUUCUGUUUUUAUUCUUUAUUUUGUUUAACAAGAGCCUUGAAGCUGUUCUGUAUACAGUAGACCGAUGGGGGCCAAAGACUCCAUUUUAGUAUAGUGUUCACCAAGUGGUAUAGAAUACAAGUAUAUAAACUUUAUCCAAACGCAAUGUAAUAGACCAAUUUAUCUCCGGGCUUAAAGCUAGCAUUAUUUACAAGCAAAGGUGCUUGGUCUGACUUUGUUAUUCAUUUGUAGUACUGUAUCCUGUAACCAAACGAGUCACUGCUUAUUCAGUGGUCUCCAACUUCACCUCUGGAGCUCAGAAAUGAUGAAUAUAACAGUGAGAGACAGUGCCACUCUGUUAGAAGUACAAUAAUACUUCACAAGUCCUUUUGAUUACCCAAGGUUCAUUUGUACGCAGCGAGGGAUGGAAGGUUUUAUUAAAAUGUAAAUUUAAGGGAUUUUUCAGUUGCUCAUUGUUAUAUUUUGACAUGACAAAGUUCUGUAUUUGUGGAUCUACUGUAUUGGUGUUUACAUAAUGUACAUAACCACCGUUCGCUGAGCUCCGUGUCACUGCCUGCUUUUGAUUUUCAUGUUAAGAGACUGGAUGUCAUGUACACUAACUGUAAAGGUGACAGCUCCAUAAAUGAUAUGGGGAGAGAAAGUCACCUCAGGAGCCACAUGACACCUAUGGAUUCUUGGACUCCUCUGUAACUGGAUAGUGUUUUAUAGAUCACUGCAUUAUUAGAACGUUCUAUAGAUUCACCUCUGAACUUGGAAACUGUUGGCUGUAUGUCCAAUGGUAGUGCUGUGAACAUGUUACAAUUAUUCACAUGUGAUUGUUUUGACACUGUUAUACUGCUACAUAAUGUUGAUUGUUACAUGGUAUUUAUCAGUUUUAUAUGUUCAAAUGUUGGGUUUGUUUUUAGAGAGAAGUGUUCAUUAACAAAGCUGCUUUGUGGAAAAUAAAUACCAUUGGUUUACAAUAAGUUUAAUUGUUAAAAAAAAUGAAAAUAAAUUACUUUUCAUAAAA